CAAAAACAUUUCUUUUUGGGUUAAUUGAAAGUAUUGCCUGCUCGAUGUGAAAAUGAAUGGCCGCGGUAUAUUGACCGUGCGAAGGUAGCAUAAUAAAUAGUUCUUUAAUUGGGGGCUGGAAUGAAAGGUGGAAUGAGAUACUAACUUUCUUUUUCGUAAAAUGUUGAGAUUUACUUUUUAGUGAAGAGGCUGAAAUUAAGUUAUUAGACGAGAAGACCCUAUUAAGCUUGAUAACAUAAUUGAUGAUUUUUGAUUGUUGUAUUGAGAUUAAUUGUAUGAUUGUUGUUUUGUUGGGGCAAUGAUGAAAAAUUUGAAAAUUUUUAUUUGUAGUGGGUAAUGAUGAUCCGUUAUUAAUGAUUAUAAGAAUAAGUUACUGUAGGGAUAACAGCGUGAUGGCUUUGGAGAGUUCUUAUCGAUAAGGCAGUUUGCGACCUCGAUGUUGGUUUAUUGAGUCUAUAGGGUGAAGGAGCUUUAUAAGAG
This 480-nucleotide ribosomal RNA is filed under the name Trichotoma michaelseni. RNAcentral describes it as "partial 16S ribosomal RNA". It matches the Rfam family "Bacterial large subunit ribosomal RNA", at positions 1808 to 2571 of the family's 2925-position model. The record is from RNAcentral. Lineage: Eukaryota; Metazoa; Arthropoda; Arachnida; Solifugae; Gylippidae.